RNAcentral lists this ribosomal RNA (615 nucleotides) under uncultured bacterium. RNAcentral's name for it is "bacterial SSU rRNA". It matches the Rfam family "Bacterial small subunit ribosomal RNA", at positions 338 to 943 of the family's 1533-position model. The record is from RNAcentral.
CCUACGGGAGGCAGCAGUGGGGAAUAUUGGACAAUGGGGGCAACCCUGAUCCAGCAAUGCCGCGUGUGUGAAGAAGGCCUGAGGGUUGUAAAGCACUUUCAGUGGGGAGGAGGGUUGUUUGGUUAAGAGCUGAAUGAUUGGACGUUACCCCACAGAAGAAGCACCGGCUAACUCCGUGCCAGCAGCCGCGGUAAUACGGAGGGUGCAAGCGUUAAUCGGAAUUACUGGGCGUAAAGGGUGCGUAGGUGGUUAGAUAAGUUAUCUGUAAAAUCCCUGGGCUUAACCUGGGCAGGUCAGAUAAGACUGUUUGACUCGAGUAUGGGAGAGGGUAGUGGAAUUUCCGGUGUAGCGGUGAAAUGCGUAGAGAUCGGAAGGAACACCAGUGGCGAAGGCGGCUACCUGGCCUAAUACUGACACUGAGGCACGAAAGCGUGGGGAAGCAAACAGGAUUAGAUACCCUGGUAGUCCACGCCGUAAACGAUGUCAACUAGCUGUUGGUCAUAUUAAUGUGAUUAGUGGCGCAGCAAACGCGAUAAGUUGACCGCCUGGGGAUACGGUCGCAAGNUUAAAACNCAAAGGAAUUGACGGCUGAGAGNGCGAGAGACAGAGGAGAGG